Diospyros lotus (date-plum) is the source of this 2642-nucleotide RNA transcript. RefSeq lists it as uncharacterized. Lineage: Eukaryota; Viridiplantae; Streptophyta; Magnoliopsida; Ericales; Ebenaceae. The record is from RefSeq and is a predicted model, not a curated record. The transcript is spliced from 7 exons.
CAUCUCGUUCAACGCGCUUUGUCGUUGCUUAUUGACGAAGCUCUCGUGUUACCUGAGCACCGCCGUUGUCUGCGUUCGUUCUCCGCUCGAAACCCUAACCCUAAUUUUUCCAUCUCUCCGUCGCUCUGGUUCUCUUGGCUUCAUCAAGUCUCUGCCUCCGCAAAACGAUGGCGGCUAAACCACUUUCAAGUGAGGCAAUAGCCAUGACAGAGAAGAAAAUGGACAUGACACUAGAUGAUAUCAUCAAAAUGUCCAAAAACAAUACAUCAAAAGCUAAGAAGCAAAGAGUUUCAAAUAGAAGCCAAAAAUUUAAUAACGCUGCCCAAGAAAAGUCUAAUAAAGUACUAAGGUUUAUGGAGACAAGGUCCUCACUCAGACAGGGCACUCUUGCUAGGAGGAGGUCAAAUUUCCAGGGAAAUCAAUUUCCCUUGGCAGCUGAGGCUGCACGAAAGGCUGCGGUUGCUCCUAUUCGCAACAGAGCCUUUAAUCGAGGCAGGGGGUAUAAUGUGAAUAAACCAAGGUAAACAAUGGCCCUUCUUUAUUGUUGAUGGCUAGCAAUAUGGUUGGUUAAUAGUUGUUAAGUUGCAUUAUUGUUCGGGGAACUAUUGUAUUUGGUUUGAGCUGCAAGCUUAAGAUGUGGGAUUCUUUCAAUUGCUUGCUGUGCAUACUCCAUGCAUAAAGAAUGUCUGCAUCAAGCUUUAUUUGUGGUUUAUAUGGUUGGGAAAUUAAGUUGAGCAAGUGCAUAUUGCAUUAGAAUAUGGCUGUCCAACGUGAGUUGGGGUGUUACUGUUUGCAUUGGCUUUUGAGGCAGAGCAAGAUCUUCAAAGGAAAGGGAUUUGAAUAAAUGAUGGUUAAGCAAGCGUGGCUGAAAGUUAUCAUAACUUCCAUUUAAGUGGCUCACUUUAUGGUUUGCUAAGUGCUUUCCUGUUUUGUGGUUGUUAACCGGAUAGUACAGUAGAGGCCCAGUGGGGAAGGUUAUAAUUGCUAGCAGUAGAGGUGGGGUUAUUAUUUGUUUUCCUGGCAUGGAGUUAUUGUUCCAUGUGUUGUUGAUGCUCAAGGAAGCAUUUCUUUCUGCUCAGUGACGUAUUUGGCUUUUUUGUUGUGACAGUAGGCUGCCUAUUUUUCUGGCACGUGAAAGUCCAGUGGACUGCACUCACUUAAAUUUUUACUCCAAGUGACCUAUCUGGCAUACAGUCCUCCAUUGGUGGAGUGUGUUUUGUUUCCUGAAUUUGAAGUUACUGAUGUUGGAAUAACAUGGCUUCUCUCUUUUAACAUUUUACUGUAUCAUGCUGCACGUUCAUUUUGAAUUUGCCCAGUCUUAGUACCAGCAACCACCUGAGAAUAUCUUGCUGCAGUUCAGUUUCUGUUGCCAAGCAUGUAGAUAAACUGUUCACCUGCUUUGAAGUGCCUUCAAGUGGAAUUGUUACCCUUUCCUUGGUUGAUCGUGUGGGUUUCUUUGAGUUGUUACUGACCGUGAGCUUAAGAUCUGUAAUCUACAUAUGUUGCCACUGUGCUCGAUAUGAUUAAGGUUAAAUUUUGGGGUUGGAUGAGGGUAAAAAUAAUACACUAUCACAUUCCUUUGAUUUACUGGACGCUACUGGUUGGCAGCUGCAGCUGUGUUGCUUUGAUACAUACUUUUAGUUGAGGUAAUCGUAAUUGAAGAUGUUAUGUCUUUGGCCCGUCAAAGCAGUUUUGGCUUAUGUGGGUCAUGUUUGGAAGUUGUUCGGGAGUUCCUGAACAUGAGCUUACAUAUCUAAUGGUCACUGUGCUCGAGAUGAUAAGGGGGAAAACUUUGGGGGUUGGAUGAGGGUAAAUAGUAAUAUACAGUGUUUCACAUUCUUGGUUUACAGUAUAUCACUGGUUGGCAGCCACAGCCGUAGUGCCUUGUUAUAUACUUCUAUACAAGUUAAUCUUAAUUGAAGAUUUUACAUCACUAGCCUGUCAUAGCUGAUGUGGCUUAUGCGGGUAUGUGUUUUGGUUUGUGCUUGUUGGCUUGUUUUGGAUGGGGUUCAGGAGUGCAUCUCCUGUUAAAUUGGAUUGCUGAAGGGAAAAUGAGCUUAUUGUUUUCCUUGGUUCUGUUGCUCCGGAGAAGUUUUUGUUCUCCAAGCUUUAGUUCCAGUGGAAUCAUUUUGGCACGACUAACUUCGGAUUACACAUUCAAUUAGAGGGGGAUGAAUUAUAGCAAACUGUCUGAAGAUAUCCAAUUUCCCUUUAUGUUCUUGAAAUGGUUUGUCUUGUCUUUCAGUUGGAAUUAAAUAGAAUAUGCAGUGGUAAGCAUCUCAGUCGCUCUUUUACAUGCUGAUAUGGUCUUGAACAACUACAUAAUAGCUUAUGAUUGGGUAUUUGGAUGGUGCUCAUUCCUAUACAAGAGGUUCUGUAUUUCAAGAUACUUAUAUGUUGUCUCAUUUAGUUGUAGUUAACUCUCUCUUUGCAGGUUUGUUGGUCGACCGGUGCAGAGGAAUGUCUCAAAUGGGAGCUUUACAAUAAAGCAGCACCCUCAGCCACAAGUGAACAUGACCCCUAAGCAGAGACCCCAAACUCUGGACUCGCUAUUUGCAAACAUGAAGGAGCAGAGGAUGAGAGUUUUUUCUCAACAAAACAAUGCUGGAAGAAGAAUCGGAGGUGGCCAGCGAAGACAGCAG